This 583-nucleotide long non-coding RNA is filed under the name Capra hircus (goat). Its description in RNAcentral is "lncRNA (ENSCHIG00010018998.1)". The record is from RNAcentral. Lineage: Eukaryota; Metazoa; Chordata; Mammalia; Artiodactyla; Bovidae.
GGUUUUGUCUUCAGCCCUCUUUUCUGCAGCACUGGUACAGUUCAGCUUCAUAAGGAGGCUUUUCAGCAGAGAAGCCUGCGGUGUUGAACCAGUGCCACGGGGGGAUGAAUUCUUCGAUACAUCUCUGGCCUCCUUUCUCGAAAUUAAAGCGUGGCGACUUGCAGAAAGGCAUAUGGGUGUAAACAGCACAUCCCUGCUCCGACAUUCUGCUCCUUUAUGCCUGAAACAGAAAAGGAGGCUAUAAAUAGAUCAUGAAAAGAAGAACAAGAGCUGGAUCUCAUGAAGGUACAAGGUGACUCCCAGGGCUCGCCAGGCACCGCAGCGUGACGCGAGGCGAGCCGUGUCGUGUUCUCGGGGUGGAUUCUCCCGAAAGCCUCACAAGCACUGUGGCGGCUUCCUCUUUCUAGUUUCCAUUUGAAGACAGGGCGGAGUCCCCCUAACUUCUGUGACUGCACCCUUGCCUGCUGGACCUCUGCCAAUAUUGGAUAUUGAUUGUAUGUGAGAUCACUGCCCUACAAGAGUUCACAAUGUUUGAGAAUUCUUGCCAGAGCUUCUCGUAAAAAAAUUUCACAGAGAAAUGAAA